This 1336-nucleotide long non-coding RNA is filed under the name Ailuropoda melanoleuca (giant panda). Its description in RNAcentral is "lncRNA (ENSAMEG00000027715.1)". The record is from RNAcentral. Lineage: Eukaryota; Metazoa; Chordata; Mammalia; Carnivora; Ursidae.
CAGGAAAGAGGGAGCCCCACACACUUCUCUCCCGGAAGCGGACAUUCUGCCCCUGCACCGUGAAAACAUUCCCGCACUCUCUGAGCUGAGCAGCCGGCAGAGACAAAGGGGGCAAGCUGGGGAAGCCGAGGCUCGGCCAACUGCCUUACAGUAAAUUACUUCUCGUGGUUUGUUAGAGGAAUUUGACAUUCCAGGGGAGAGAAGCAAGCAAACUGGCCAAGGUGCAGAGAGACAUCUGAGUCUUAGUCCUCAGUUCUUAGGAGACGCUUACAGGUCAUACUUCCCACUCUGCUUUCCGCUACUAGAUGAUGGAGAUGAUGAGAUGACAUUGUGCCUACUCGCUUAACAGGAGAGGACAGAGGACUCCCUCCUCACCACUACUGUCAAAGGCAGAUCCCUCCCAAGACCAGAAUCGGAGUCCCACCCCUGGAGCAAGGAUUCUGAGGUUUCACGUCAGGGAGCAAAGCCGGCGGCAGCUCCAGCAAAAACCCAAGUGCUCCGAUCUCGCAGCUAGGCGGAGGGCAGGCCAAUAUCCCACCCACUCAAGAAUCACUUCUUUCCACUUGUCUGAGCAGAGUGGGAAGGAGGGCCUCCGGAAACCAGCUGGAAGGGAGUUGGCUGGGGCUCCACUAUCACUGAUUUAUGAAGGCUUUUCAGGGCCAGAAUGACACCAUGCACCUUCAACCUACCUCCUGCUAAUUUGUAUUCUCAGAGCUUUAAAUCACGGUGACAGCCCUGCAGGCGCUUUGACCAGUCGAGGGCUUCCGGGGCCCUGCGGGCUGGCACGCUGUUCCCUGCCCCCAUAGCGGGCCUUGCACUGCUCGCUGUACCCCAACCUGCUCCAAACCACACCCCAGCUCCUGCUGCUCUCCGGCUCUCUGCUCAGCCAGACAAUCAACAGAGCAGUGACUUUCUUUUCACUGAGAAGCUCCUUCAGCUGAAAAAAAUUACCAAAGUUAAAAAAAAAAAAAAGUAUUGACAUUAUGACUCAUCCUUACCUGGUAUUAUCGCUAAACUUCAAAGCAAACACCUGCUACCAUCAACAAAAUAAAUGCUGAGUUACUAAGGUACCUAAGUUCGUUUUCUAAACAGAUUUCACCACACCACUGAAAUCUUGCUAGGUUAAAGGAGUUUUCCAAUUGCCCGAAGCAUCUGAGUGCUCAUAAUUUCCACCCCACUUUUAGAGGCUAGACCAAACCUUUGAAGUCUACUGCCUCUUGAAAAAAAAAUUAAUAAUAAUAAUAAUAAUAAAAACCACAGCACGCUACAAAGCCUUAUUAUUUUUGAGGGCACCACACUAGCUUGCUCUACCAUAUGGUAGCCAAGGUAAAAGGCA